AACAACAACAAAACUUGCUAAAACUUCAGUGUAACACUAGAAGGGGUCAAUAGAAUCUAUGAGUGACUCACCUAUGUUCAAUUCACGAUGACACGAUGACACGCGUCAGAAUCAAUUAGGAGCAUAACUUGUCUUAGCUAGUAUACCUGGCUCAUUUUUUUAAAAAACAAUUUCAAUCUCACUUAAAAAAUCAUUUACUUUAAAAACUUUGUGGUCCCACAUUUUGAAAAUCUACAAUCUCAAAAGGCCCACCCAUAUGUAAGCAACUGGACUGAAAACUUCCCAUGUGUUUCUUGAAGAUUUUUUAGAAAAUAGAUCUCUUUUCAAACCAAAUGCUUAGAUGGUCACUAUUUUAGGAAAUGAAUAAUCGCUUAAGAAGUCAUGUAAGAGUAGCUGCUACUAUCUUCCCCUUUCUGGGAUUUAGGGGACUCCCACCUUUACUGAAGUCUCCUUUGCGCCUGAAAGAACGGCUAGCCAAGUUUCCAAUCAACUAAAGGUGGGCGUUUCAUUCAUAUGAUGUGAGCCCAGCGUACGCAGCAGUCUGCAAAAUGCGAAAUGUUUCUUUCUCUCCCUAAUUCUCUGGCUCAGCUGAGGAGCUGCUGGGUGCGAGCUUUCGGGCCCUCCCAGGUUAGGAGGCGCCUGUCGAGGACCGGGACCCGGGAUCCUCCCGGUCCCAGCCGCCUCCGCAGCGCUCUCUGCUCGCCCGAGCGCACACUGCGUCGGUUCCCACAGACCGCGACCGCGGAGAGCCUGGGCUCUGGAGCGCAGGGGGGCCGGGGUCAGACCAGCCCUCCGCAUGGGCUCGAUAAGCACAUAUUAUUUGUGUAAUAGUAAAGCCGUGUUAUUAAAGAGAAGAAUUACCCAAAGAGACUCAGUUAUGGGAGUCCUGGCCUCCGCCGCUCUGGUCUCUGCAGCUGCUCCAAUGAGCGGGACAUAGGAAAGAUACAGCCUCGGCCAUACUGAACCACUUUGAAAGACUUAUUGCUUCGUCUGCUGUGAUCUCCCAGCCAUGUUCAUUUUUCUGUAAUAAAGCUUAACUUGAUAGGAGUUCAUUCAUUCAUUCAUGCAUUCAUUCAUUCAUUCAUUCAAAGCACUACUGAGCACCUCUAUUUUGGUGUCGAAGAUAUAAAGAUGGGAGAAAGUGGGCUCAGCC
This 1153-nucleotide long non-coding RNA is filed under the name Homo sapiens (human). RNAcentral describes it as "HSALNT0253099". Lineage: Eukaryota; Metazoa; Chordata; Mammalia; Primates; Hominidae. The record is from RNAcentral.